CCUACGGGUGGCAGCAGUGGGGAAUAUUGGACAAUGGGCGAAAGCCUGAUCCAGCCAUGCCGCGUGUGUGAAGAAGGCCUUCGGGUUGUAAAGCACUUUCAGAGGGGAAGAAAGCCUUGGGGCUAAUACCCUCGAGGAAGGACAUCACCCACAGAAGAAGCACCGGCUAACUCCGUGCCAGCAGCCGCGGUAAUACGGAGGGUGCGAGCGUUAAUCGGAAUUACUGGGCGUAAAGCGCGCGUAGGCGGUCUGAUAAGCCGGUUGUGAAAGCCCCGGGCUCAACCUGGGAACGGCAUCCGGAACUGUCAGGCUAGAGUGCAGGAGAGGAAGGUAGAAUUCCCGGUGUAGCGGUGAAAUGCGUAGAGAUCGGGAGGAAUACCAGUGGCGAAGGCGGCCUUCUGGACUGACACUGACGCUGAGGUGCGAAAGCGUGGGUAGCAAACAGGAUUAGAUACCCCGGUAGUC
This 465-nucleotide ribosomal RNA is filed under the name Vreelandella stevensii. RNAcentral's name for it is "partial 16S ribosomal RNA". It matches the Rfam family "Bacterial small subunit ribosomal RNA", at positions 338 to 795 of the family's 1533-position model. The record is from RNAcentral. Lineage: Bacteria; Pseudomonadati; Pseudomonadota; Gammaproteobacteria; Oceanospirillales; Halomonadaceae.